This 420-nucleotide ribosomal RNA is filed under the name uncultured Dysgonomonas sp. RNAcentral's name for it is "bacterial SSU rRNA". It matches the Rfam family "Bacterial small subunit ribosomal RNA", at positions 356 to 774 of the family's 1533-position model. The record is from RNAcentral. Lineage: Bacteria; Pseudomonadati; Bacteroidota; Bacteroidia; Bacteroidales; Dysgonomonadaceae.
GAGGAAUAUUGGUCAAUGGGCGAGAGCCUGAACCAGCCAAAUCGCGUGAAGGAAGACUGCCUUAUGGGUUGUAAACUUCUUUUAUACAGGAAUAAAAAAGGGGACGUGUCCCUUAUUGCUGUUAUUGAAUAAUAAGCAAUCGCUUAAUUCGUGGCCACAGCCGCGGGAAUACGGAGGAUGCGAGCGUUAUCCGGAUUUAUUGGGUUUAAAGGGUGCGCAGGCGGGCUUUUAAGUCAGCGGUGAAAUCUCGGGGCUUAACUCCGAAACUGCCGUUGAAACUGGGAGUCUUGAGUAUGGAUGAAGUAGGCGGAAUUCGUUGUGUAGCGGUGACAUGCUUAGAUAUAACGAGGAACUCCGAUUGCGUAGGCAGCUUACUAAGCCAUAACUGACGCUCAAGCACGAAAGCGUGGGGAUCAAACA